AGAGAUUGUGGUCUCACAUAUGAAGGUUGUGCUGCUCUGACUUCAGCUCUGAGAUCAAACCCUGAACACCUGAGACAUCUGGAUCUGUCUGGGAAUGAACUAGGAGAUUCAGUGAAUCUGCUCUCUUCUGUACUGGAGGAUCCUCGUUGUAAACUAGAGAUACUGUGGUUGUGUGAUUUUGGUAUCACAGAUGAAGGAUGUGCUGCUCUGGCUUCAGCUCUGAGAUCAAACCCUUCACACCUGAGACAACUGGGUCUGUCGGGGAAUAAACUAAGAGGUUCUGGUGUGAAGCUGCUCUCUGAUCUGAAGGUUGAUCGACAUUAUGAACUGAAAGUAUUUUUCUAUUGACUCUCAGUAUUUAGACGUUUCCUCAGGAUCAGCUGAUGGUGAAUAAGGAGCCGCUACAGAGACACACAGUCACACAAUCAACAGAGACUCAAGAGACACACAGUGGUCACACUGAAUUCACAUCAUUUUCUUGUUUGUAUCUUUUGUGGGUCUGUUCUUUUGAAUUGCUGAUGUCAUCAUAUUUCCACAAUUAUGUGUUAAGGCAUCUGCACACAGCCAAGGCUGCUCAAAAUUUGAUGUAAUGCAGCAUAAAAGCCAGACUAAUAUUUGUCUCUGUGUAAAUGCGUUUAUGCCACCUCUGAGCAGCAUUAAACAGUCUGCGUAAAGACACAUAAAUGCCACCUGAGAAGUGCUUCUGUGCCACCUUUGCAGUAUAAAUUUGGCAUCAGAGGACCUGAAUUUACUGUAUUAUUUGGAGUUGUUUUGAAUUUGCUGUAUUGGUUACAAUGUACACUCAAUAACACUCAGUAACACUCAGUAUACACAAGCAUGUGAGAAUGAGAUCAACUGAUGAAUAACACUUUAUUUUUACAUAUUAACUUUCAGUGUAUAUUUAGUAUAACAUGACAAGUUUUACAUUAGAGAGCAUGAUGAGCCUGACUACUGAAGAGAAAUAAAUAUUUUAAAAGUUAUAUUUUUUUACCUAUAAUAUAAACUUCUGCAUAACAUUUUAUUGUUUAGCUAUUUUAUAUAUGCCAAUCUAUUUAAAUGAUCUAUUAAAGUGGACAGAUUACUGAAAUGUUUCCUUUUUUGGUUGAAUACUGCUUACUAAACUGGAGUCUUUGUCUAGAUGUAUCUAUUCUGCACGAUC
Sinocyclocheilus rhinocerous is the source of this 1159-nucleotide long non-coding RNA. RefSeq lists it as uncharacterized. The record is from RefSeq and is a predicted model, not a curated record. NCBI's taxonomy places the organism in Eukaryota, Metazoa, Chordata, Actinopteri, Cypriniformes, Cyprinidae. The transcript has 3 exons.